AUUUACUCUCCUUUUUCUCUUUCUUUUUCCUCAUAGUUUAUUCUCUUUUUACCUGUAUGUUUGACAUUGUAAGUGUUCCUCUCAACAUGGCUUCCGCUAUUAAAAGGAUCCUGUAAAGUUGAAUUUCUCUAAUUCCUCUACUUAGUGUUCUUGAAUUUAAAUGGUUCUUUUCACAUGCAGUCAAAUUCGAGGGCAUGUUGAACAAAUGGGUCUU
This 214-nucleotide unclassified non-coding RNA is filed under the name Hevea brasiliensis (rubber tree). The record is from RNAcentral. Lineage: Eukaryota; Viridiplantae; Streptophyta; Magnoliopsida; Malpighiales; Euphorbiaceae.